This is a non-coding RNA of Triticum urartu, 2489 nucleotides long. Lineage: Eukaryota; Viridiplantae; Streptophyta; Magnoliopsida; Poales; Poaceae. The record is from RefSeq and is a predicted model, not a curated record.
UGGCGCGUCCCGUGGCUCAUCCCGCGCUGACCGCGGCGUGCGUGCGUGGGGGGCUGCGCGUCCCUCUCUUGCGCGGGUGGCCUUCACCCGCUGGCCUGGUGCCUGUAUGACGGUGGGGCUGAGUCGUCCGCUUAGGGCACGUGCCUUCGCCGCGGUGUUGGGUUUGUUCCGUGCGGCGAAUGCUACCUGGUGUGGAGAGAGGCCGCGCUCUCCAUUUUCGCUGUCCGCCGUUCGCCUCCUUCGCCCCACCACGCUUCGCAUCCUGUUCGACUCGGACUGACUGACCUUCUUCGCCGCCGGUGUGCAUAGCCGUUGUGAUGGCGUUUGUGCGUUCGAUCGGUGCUGCUGGUUAAUACCAGUUUCUUCUACCGCUGUCUCCUGCGCCCGCCGUCGCGCCGUUCUGCCUUUUGCAUUGAGGUCGAUGGUGGGGUGGAUGGGCAGGGGAGGCGGGCGACGAGGGCAGGCAACAGUCGCCCCGUCGCGAUGUGGUGAAGCUACAGGGAAGAGGGAGGAGGUCGGCGAUAGGGUGAAGGAGUAGGCCGGCCCUCGUGGAGGCUGCGCUGCCGGCCGGCCAGGGAGGCGGCCCGGCUCGCCUCUGCCUCCACCCUCACCUCCUUUUCCAUGCCUCUUCCUCUGCAUAGUAGCAUGUGCGAGGUUGCGGGCACAGGCAACCAUGGGCAAAUUUUGGGGAGACGCCAAGAUGAGCUUCCCCUCUGUUCCAUGCCCUAAUCUCUCUCUAAAGAUUUGUGUAGCCUAAAUGUCUCUGUACCGUGUAAGCAGGCCCAACCUAAUGCACACCAUCGGCCUGAUGAAUGACCAAAUGAUUUGUUUUUGUUGCCAUAUAGACUAUUGACUGGUGUGUAGGAGCCCUUCUAAUUGGUGUUCUAUGUGUGUUUUCUUUUGUUCUGUUGCAGAAUAAUAAUUCAAGUGGAUGGCCGAUGAGUCUUGUUGUUUAGCGGUAUGAUGGUCGGUGAAAGUAUGUUCUAUGUAUAUUGCAAGGUGAUGGGCUGCUGACUUUUGUUGUCCACUUCUACUGAUUUCUACCCACUUGCUUAAUUUGAUAUCUGCUGUAUAAGUAAUGGCCCUAAUAUACAGUACAUAAAAAAUGACCCGUCUUAUAUUCCAAAAGAAUGGUUUUGCUAUGCGCUGCUUGGAAUCAUCAGUGUUCGUUAUUUUUGUUCAGAUUUGUUAUGUACGCAUGGUAGAUCUUUCUAGGUUCUACUUUCUUAUUCUUCAGCCAUAAUUCAGUUCAUGUCACCAAGUUGCAGCCAUACCAAAGUGCAGACAUUUAAAUAUUUUAGAACAGAACAAUUAGAUGAUUUUAGUUCUGAGUGCAUGAAUGCUUUGGUUAAUGGUUUAGAAAUGCAUUGCGUAUGUAGUUAUGUUAACAUGUUUGCUAGAGGGAUCAGAAUGGUCUUUGAGUCGUUCAAAACUGAAGGGAGCACCGAGGUAUCACAUUUGCAAAAUCAUGCAUAUGCAGGAGCACGGCAGUCUAGCGACCUAAAUUUCUCCCCAACUUAUGCCUUUUUGUUCAGUCCAGAAUUUCAGGUUUCCCGUGGUUUCUGUUGCCAAGGUUUUAUCUUUAUUUUCGUGUUGCGCAGAUGAUUUCUGUUGAAGCCGAGCCAAUUGAGAUCCAAGAGCCUCCUCCAUCUUACCCUCCUCACCAAGGAGGUCGGAUUGAUCUAGGAUCUUUUUCCUUAAUUUUGAGGUCCUCCCUUGGCCCCUCUACUUGGCUCUCCUCUGUCUUGUUUCUCCUCUAUAAAAAAAAUAUGGAAACUACCACGAGAGAUAAUUGCGGCUUGCUGCUCUUCGCUGCAGAAUAUCACAAAGAAGUAUAUCAGUUGGCAUCCUCCCAGAAGAAGAGAAGUCAAUAUACAAAGAAAAAAUCAUGGCCAAACUUUUUUAAACCAUAAGCAACUUGUUAUGAUGUGAUGAUACCUGGUCAAGCUUUUCUCAUUUUUCUGAAAACUCAUUUAUCAAGUGAAUCUACUAUGCCAAGGAAGUACGGAGCGACCAAUGGUUUCACUUAUUGGAGGGGAGACGCGGAAUCAGCGCACUGCCUGACCCCAAAGGCUUGAGGGAGCGGGUCUCCUGUAGGGAAAUAGCAAGCAUUGCAUAAUUUCCUUUAAAUAAUCAAAUCUCAAUUAAAUCAAGUAUAUGACCAUGUAUUUUUAUCAAAUAAGCCAGAAAAAAAGAAAUACAACACCACAAAACCCCUAGAAGUGUCAUAGAAAUUGUGCUUCAGAAUUAUUUGUCAAUCCCAUGCAGCUAUCUUGCCAUGGAAAUAAUCUCAUAUCAAAAUACGUUCAGAACUAUAUCCAUCAUAGCGUCCUUCCAGCUUCACUUACAGGCACCUGCUUGUUAUUUACCCAACUAAUAGUUGUUGCUUGGUAAUAAAGAAAAGAUAGCUAGAUAAACAAUUAGUCCAGUAGACCAUUUGCUUAUUGUUUUAUACACACUCACUUCAUUUCCAAAUAAUCUUUUAUGCA